This 7853-nucleotide long non-coding RNA is filed under the name Vitis vinifera (wine grape). RNAcentral describes it as "long non-coding RNA (VVIN_LNC000268)". Lineage: Eukaryota; Viridiplantae; Streptophyta; Magnoliopsida; Vitales; Vitaceae. The record is from RNAcentral.
UUAUUGCAAAGUGUUAUUAAUCCCAUUCCCACUGUCCUUCUGAUUCUUGUGUCACGCAGCUAUGAUUAACUGCAACGUAUAUGAACGCAUAUUCAAGCGUUUCGAUGAAGAUGGUGAUGGCAAACUCUCUCCUUCGGAGCUUCGACGCUGCGUGGGGACGAUAGGGGAGGAGCUGCUCAUGGAGGAGGCGCAGGAGGUGGUGGAGUCGAUGGACUCGGACGGAGAUGGGUUGCUGGGAUUGGAGGAAUUUGUGGGGUGGAUGGAGAGAGAGGGUGAAGAAAGAAAGAUGGAGGAGCUGAGAGAGGCUUUUGGGAUGUACGAGAUGGAAGGGAGUGGGUGUAUUACUGCAAAGAGCUUGAAGAGGAUGCUGAGCAGAUUGGGGGAGUCGAGAAGUGUGGAAGAGUGCUGUGUUAUGAUCAGGCAGUUUGAUGUAAAUUGCGAUGGGGUUCUUAGCUUUGAUGAAUUCAAGCUCAUGAUGCUAUGAUGCUUAUAAUUCUUGAGUCUGAAAGUGAAGAUGAUAUUCUUUAUAAGUUGAACAAGAGUAACUUGUAAACCAAGAUUCUUUCUAUAAAUAGAAUAUGAUACCCAUUUAUUUAUUUUUCAAAGUUAACGAGUCUGUAUGCUUGCUAGGGAGGCUCUCUAUGAAGGGUGAAUAUUGGAGAAGCUUGCCCCAUUCUGGAUUUUCUUAUUUGAAGGAACAUAUGAAUAGUUUGGGCUCUCUUUUCUUAUGAACCAACAUGCAAUAAUGAUAGUAAACAAUAUUAUAUCUGUGAUGAUAAAAGUUGGGGUGGAGAAAGAAACCGAUCAUCAAAUAAUCAAAUGUAAAGGACCCAACUUGACCCCUGGUCUCCCAAUAUGAGAAACCAGAUCCCGCCCCCAGGAGGAGCUGGAAAUCCCACUUUUUAACAUGAUAUCCGGUUGGUUUCCAAUGCCUUCACUCCAUUCCAAUUUUCAGUCAAUUUUGUAAUUUAUUGUUUAAUUACAUUAACUUAUGACCAUUAAUCCAUGCCAAUAUUUCUAUGCCUAAUAGCCUUCACAUCAUCUUCCUUUAAUAUGUAUGUAUAGGAGCUUCGGUUGUCACAACACUAAUAUCUUAAAGAAAUAAUUGGUAUAAAUAGAUGAAAUAUUCGUCAUAUUUAUAAAUUUAUCACUUUCCAUGUUUUUAUUUAAAAAAUAAUUUAUUUUUUACAUAAAUAUUUUUAACUAUUUCAAGUAUGUAUAAUAUAUUUUAUAAGAAAAUAAUAAUGUAUUUUUGUCAAAAUGAGAUAAAAAAAGAUGAAAAGUUAAUUAGGUUCCAAAAUUGGGUUUUUAAUAACUUUUUUAAUCCAAUAGCCCUAUCUUAAAAUUGGAGACCCGCUAACCUUUUAUAACCAUAUUGAGAAGUUGGGACAUGACUUAUAACGUAAACUUUCUCUAGAAGUUGUGCACAAACUUAUUUGCGGAAGUUAAAUUAUUUAAUGUAGGUUAUUACACCUCUAACCUUUUAUAACUGUCUCUAGAAGGUGAGAAAUGACUUGUAUUCUAAAGUAUUUCUAGAUGUUGACAAUGAAAUUAUAUAGUAAAGUUUUCUCAUGUCAUUACAUGAUGACUUGCAUAAUAAACUUUCUUUAGAAUAACUUGUAUGGUAAAGUUUCCUAUUAUCAUUCUGUGUCUGCUUCCAACAUUUUCUUCCUAUUGAUUCCUAAUUAAGUUUUUUGCAAUCUCUUAAGUUAGGGUGACUUCAUCAAUACUUUGAGUUAGGCUAACUUGUAAGAUGUUUUUCUAAAAUUGAUAAUAACAUUUGGGUUGUAUUUUUAAAUCAUAAAAUAAUUUUUCUUUUUCUUUUUAUUUUUUUUUUUAAAUUUUAAAUUGUUUUAAAAUGAGAAGGGUUUUAUCAUAACUUGUAUUAUAAAUUAUCAUAAGAGAAUUUGAAAAUUAUGAUUUUGAAACAAUUAUUAAUGAUUAUGGAUUGAACAAAAUUUUCUAACUCUCUGAACAUAUUGUUGAGAGGAAAAUAAACUUUAUAAGAAAUAAUAAGAAACAUAUUAAAUGAAAAUAAUCUAUUAAAAUAUUUUUAGUUCAAAGUGGUUAACAUGAAAUAUUAUCUUUUAAACUGCUACUAGUUAAGGGGAAAGCUCAAGUCAAGAUUUGAUGAGAGUGAAAGUUUGUAAUUCAUUGUUCAUAAUAUCAAAUCAAAGGCAUUAUUUCUUAGAAUUUGAUGCUAGUUCAUUUCCAUGUAUGGAUGAAAAUAUCGAUAAAUACAAAUAUAUUUUUAUGGAUAUAUUGGAAAUAUCCGUAAAAUGUUAGUGGAUAUUUUGAUAAAAAUAUCAAUAGGACAAAAAUUAUUAAAAAUUCGUAGAAAUGUAUAGAGAAAAACUUCAAAAAACAAUAAAAGAAGAAAGAAUACAUCGUAUUAACGUUAUUUUAUAAAUAUGAUUGACAUAAGUAUAAUAAAAUAUAAUAUUUUUCAUUUAAAAUAAAAAACUUAAAUUCUUUUAAUAUAUUUAUAUUAAUUUAUUUUAAAAAUUAAAACUAAUAUUAUUAAAACAUGUUUUAUUACCUUUAAUGAUAAUAAUUUUUAAAAAUAGGAUUAAGGAGAUAAAUAUGAAAAAUAAUAAAAUAAAAGGAUGAUAUAAAUUUAAAAUGAAAGAUAAAUUGAAAAAGAAAUUAAAAAAAAACAGGGAUAAAUUAAAAAAAAUGGGAUUUUUGAAAAAAUCGUCAAUAAAUCAGUGAUUUUUUUGCCCUCUCGCGACCCACGUGCUCGUGCUGUCAGGUGCAUUUUCGCCGAAAUAUCGGUGAAAUUUCCCGAUUUUUCAAAGACAAAAAGACUAUGAAUGGCGGCUUUUGAAUCUUUUGACCGUUGAAAACUGCAAUUCCACCUCAAAACCUGGCAACUUCUCUCCUUCUUCCUUUCCUUCCUUCACCAAAACCUGAAAAACACGCACUCCAUGACAAACCCAACACUCUCUUGUCUUUAUUCUCCCAGAGCCUCCUAGUAGAGUCUUCAUUGAUCUUCUUCACCCUCAAAGCCACCAUACCAAACAGCUCUAGUCCUUUCACGCGUCCCCACAAAACUACUUAUACACACAAAGUGCUAGCACAUCUUCACAUCUUCUCAUCUUCUCGUCUUAUUAUCAAGUGUUACCCAAUUCCACAUUUGCAGUACUAACAUUCUUGUGUUGCCCGGCCAUGAUUAAUUGCAAUGUGUAUGAACUCAUUUUCAAGCGUUUUGAUGAAGAUGGUGAUGGGAAACUCUCUCCUUGGGAGCUUCAACGCUGCGUGGGGUCGAUAGGGGAGGAGCUGCUAAUGGAGGAGGCCCGAGAAGUGGUGGAGUCAAUGGACUCAGACGGAGAUGGGUUGGUGGGGUUGGAGGAAUUUGUGGGGUGGAUGGAGAGAGAGGACGAAGAGAGAAAGAUGAAGGAGUUGAGAGAGGCCUUUGGGAUGUACGAGAUGGAUGGGAGUGGGUGUAUUACUCCCAAAAGCUUGAAGAGGAUGCUGAGCAGACUGGGGGAGUCAAGAAGUGUGGAGGAGUGCGGUGUUAUGCUAAGGCAAUUUGAUGUAAAUGGGGAUGGGGUUCUUAGCUUUGAUGAGUUCAAGCUCAUGAUGCUGUGAUGCUUCAUAAGUAAAAGUGAAUGCGUUAAGUCUUUUUAGGUAGAAAAAGAUUGAUUUGUAAACCAAGAUUCUUUCUAUAAAAAUAGAGGAAUAUAUUCAUUCAUUUAUUUAUUUAUUUUUGCAAAGUUAGUGAGUCUAACGAGCCAACAUCCCACAAUGAUAAUCAACAAUAUUAUCCUUUCCUUAUGAUAACAGUGAUGUUAAAAACUGGCCGAGACAGGAACCAUUCAUCAAACGGAUCAACGUACGACACAGGACCCAACUUGACUUGCUGGUCUCUCCAUGAGACACAAAAUUGAUCAGCCUCCUCAGGAGGAGCAGGGAAACCCACUUUUAACAUAUCAUCAGGUUUGGAUUCCUAGUAACUGGCUUAAGACUUUUCUAUAUGCCUUUACAUACACCACAUCCACAUGAGUUGCUCUCCAUAAGUGCCACACAACAUCUUACGCACCCUCUACCCUAGUAAACAUGGGCUUGUCCUAUUCACCCUCCUACGCACAGGCAACAUUGUCUUCGUGGUCUAUACGGUUCGUGUUCUAUAAGGUUUUAUGUGUAGUCAAACUCCGCACAUUUCUAACUGGGCCUUUGGUCUCAUAAAUCAUACCACUGAAAAGGAUACAAUAAUUUUUAAAAAUAUUUAGUAAAGUAUGACACUUUUAAAAUUAUUUCUAAAACUAUUUUAAUUCUUCAAUAAAAUGAAAAUGUAAAAAGAAUUAAUCGAUUAAAAUAUAUAAUUAAAAACUUAUAUAUGUUCAAAUUAUUAACUAUUUAUAUAAAUGUAAAAAAAGAAACGUCCCUUGGAUACAUUUUUAAUUUGAAAAAUAGAUAGUAGUAAUAUAUUCAGUUUUUUCUUUUUUUAAUAAAAGGGUCUAAAUGAUUAUCAUAUUUGUGGAAAUAACUUGAUAUUUUCAGAACUUGAAAAAUAACCCAUCUUGAACAAAAAUACCUCUUUUACUUUUGUUUCUAUCAUAGCACGAUUUUUCUUUUUAUUUUCAUCUCAUUUUUUUCCCUUUUUGAUUAUGUAUUUUUUCUUCAUUUAUUCUUCUAUGAUGAAGAAAGUUGACUUAUGACUAUUCUUUUCUCUAUUCUUCAUUAAUGGCCUUGGAAAGAAAUUUAAAGACGCCAACAACUUAUUUUAUUUUUCAUAUUUCCUUAAUAUUUUUUGCCUUUUUAUUUUAAAAAUUAUUAUAGUAAGCAAAUCUUCUUAUAUAUCCACCAAUUAAGAAUAUCUUCCAACACUAUAAUCUAACAUAAAUGAUCUUUUUUAAUCCAAUAUGAAAUGCACCCUCCCUCAAUUGAUUCAGAAAGAAAACAUAUAGAAACAAUAUUUAGAAAAAAGAAAAAGAAAAAACGAGAAUGUAAAUCUUAUCAAAGUGGAGCUUAGAUUUGACUAUAUAAAAAUGAAAUUACUCAAAUUAUAGUGGAUUUGUGUUUAGGGUUAGAGUUCUAAGACAAAGUAAGACGUUAAUUGGUGAUUAUGAGGAGACAAAGAAGUGUUAAAUGAUGAAUGCAAAGUUUCAAAACAAAGUGAUGUUUGUGGGGAGUAGAUGAAGAACAAAUGGCAGAUUUGAGAGAGAGACAGAGCAAUAACUUUUGUUCUCUCCACCUCUAAUCUUUGUUCUUAAAUUUCAAGGGUUUGAAUCUUAUUUAUUUGAGGGUAUUUUUGUGUAAGGUGGACAUCUUUCAUGGUUCAGAAGAAGGUUAGUUUUGUGUGACGAUUUUUUUUUUAUUUUUCCUCGCGUGCAUAUUUUCUUCACAUUUUCUCAGGAAAGAAACAUGGCCUAGGAUGUUGCUGAUACCAAAAUCAUAUUUGACUGUGCCUGCCAAUGAGGCUAGCAUGCUUGAUUAUGAAGCUACUGAGAAGUAGUAUCUCAUUGCGAUUCUUGCCGGAAACUCCCAAUCCCAAUAGGCUAAAAAGAAAUUUUCUAUUAAUAUUAAUGAUGAACUGUAGGUCAUUAAUUAUCAUUAUUUUCCUACAUUGAUUUUUUUUUAUUGGAUUUUUGUUUUUUCUAAUGGUCUCCAACGGGCUGGGCCGGACCCUUAAUAUAUCUAAGGCCCGUGGGCCCUCAAGCUGGGCGGGCUUAGCGGGCCGGACUUGCAGGCCUGGCGGGCGGGCCGGGGUAAAAAUUAAAAUAAUUUUUAAUUUUGAAGGGAAGGGGUCCCCUUCCCUUAUAGAACCAUAAGGGAGCUAGCCACCAAUUGAACUGAUCCUCUUUUGUGUAACCAUUUUGCAUUAAUUAUAUAUAUAUUAGAAAUGUUGUAUGAUUUUUGAAAAAAAAUAAAAGUGAGUUGGCUAUUCAACGGUUACAUGACUAUUGAAUAUGCCACUCAUAAUUCAAUUUCAAAUAUAUGACCGUUGAACGGUCUUGAAAUUAAAAAAAAAAAAAAAUUAAAUCCUAAUAUUUAAAUCCCUAUAAAUAUUAAAUAUCCUCAAUUUUUUUUCUAUUCUCUCAACUCUUAAGCUCUCUCCCAUUCUACAAUAUUUCUGAUUAUUGCAUUUUGUCUAAAAUUAUUCAAUAUUAUUGGCGGUGAAAAACAAGCAUUGGUGGUUUAAAGAGUUCAAAUUUGAAAGAAUUUCUGCUUUAGUUUUCCAAUUUAGUAACAUACUUCACUUUUUCUUUUAUUUAUUUGUUACAUUUUAAUUUUACAUUUAUUAUUUUUAGCAUAAUAUUUUAUCAAUAAUUAUAAUUAUGGCAAGUGGUUCUUGUUCUUCAUCUAAUGCAUGUGAUAACAAAAAAUUUACUUCAAAUAUAUGGAAUUUUUUUGAUAGAAUAAAAAUAAAUUUAGAAAAUAAUAAAAAAGAAAUAAAAGCAAAAUAUAAAAUUUGUAACAAACUUUUUAGUGGUGGCUCAAAUACAGGUACAAGUCAUUUAAAAAGAUAUCAUGAAAGUUGUAAAACUAAAAGUAAUGUAGAUAUUAAAAAUUAUAUGCAAUUAGGUAAAGAUGAAAGUGGAAAUUUAAAAACAUUUUCUUAUGAUGAAUUUUAUUGUCGUGAAGAAAUGAUUAGUUAUAUAAUAAGAGCAGAACAACCUUUCAAUUUCACUAGUUCGCCAUCACCGCCAAGAGAUAAUGAUUAAAAUAUUUUACUAAAUGUAUGUCAUAUUUUUAUUUUUAUUUUUAUGGUUGAAAAGUUCAAAUGAUUGACAAAUAAGUAGGUGUCAACCUAGUUGAGAUGUAUUUAUUUUGUAGUAAUGUAAACUUUUCCCACAUUUUCAAACGUAAUGUAUACAUUCAAUGAAAAAAUAGUUAAUAAUGAAUAUUUUUAUUAAUGUAACAUUUUCUAUUUCUUGAAUAUAUAUUUUUAAUAUAUAUAUAUAUUUUAAAGUUGCGGGCCUACGGGCCGGGCCUAAUUUGGGGCCCAUGGCCUGGCCCAUCCAGAAAUGGGCUCGAGCCGGGCCGGGCCGCGGGUCGCGGGCUUUUUGGAGACCCUUAGUUUUUUCAAGAUGGAUAUUACCUGAUUUGAGUAGAUAUAAUUUUGUAUACAGAAAGGAAUGUAAUAAUAGAAAUUUUGAAUAACGUCUCUGAGAUAUAAUUCGUAAUUUAUUCCACACUCAAACAUAUUCCAAAUUCAGAAGAAAGAAUAUUUUCCACACUUUCCCCCUGUCAUUUCCGCUUCAUGUCCUGUACAAAGAGUAAGAAAAGAGGAGCCAAAAAAAAAGGCAAAAUGAACUACAGUAUUUUUGACCGUGAUGGAUUAAUUUAAUGCAUUUCCAUCUCAGAACCUCGCAACUUCUGACUUUCUUCCUCCAUAAACCUGUCAAGCACUCCAUCACACCAAACACGCCAUUCUUCUCAUACUCAAGAGCUCCAGCCCAUUUACGCGUCCCCACAUGGCCUGCAUAUAUACUCACUCACAAAUUGUUGUUCAGAUGUUCUCAUCUUAUUGCAAAGUGCUAUUAAUCCCAUUCCCACUGUCCUUCUGAUUCUUGUGUCACGCAGCUAUGAUUAACUGCAACGUAUAUGAACGCAUAUUCAAGCGUUUUGAUGAAGAUGGUGAUGGGAAACUCUCUCCUUCGGAGCUUCGACGCUGCGUGGGGACGAUAGGGGAGGAGCUGCUCAUGGAGUAGGCGCAGGAGGUGGUGGAGUCGAUGGACUCGGACGGAGAUGGGUUGCUGGGAUUGGAGGAAUUUGUGGGGUGGAUGGAGAGGGAGGGUGAAGAGAGAAAGAUGGAGGAGCUGAGAGAGGCUUUUGGGAUGUACGAGAUGGAAGGGAGUGGGUGUAUUACUGCAAAGAGCUUGAAGAGGAUGCUGAGCAGAUUGGGG